AUGGAUGGAGAGUGGCUGCAGUACAAUAGUGGUGUGCACAAUGAGUUUGAUCUCUUCAUGACAAGCAAACACAACCACCUUUUCCAGGACAACCAUAGUGAUGAGAUGGAUGGUCUGCUUGAAGCCACUAUUGUCGUGGGAAACACUGAUGAUGCCAACGUUGUUGCUGCAGACCACAAAAACAACGAUGGAGAGACCCAUAGUGAUCAGAGAAUGGCCACAAGGCGUGCCAAUUAUCACCGUCUGCGCAGUGAACAAAUCCUACAACUUGAAGCUGUGUUCCGGGACUGCCCUUAUCCAAAUGAGAAACUUCGGAAGGACCUUAGCGAGAGGCUUGGCAUGAGUGCCCAGCAGGUCAAGUUUUGGUUCCAAAACAAACGCACCUUCAGUAAGGGAAAGAUGGAGCGGUGGGAGACCCAAAAUCGUUGGGUAGAAAAUGAGAGGCUGAAAACUGAACGUCAAGCCAUCUUGUUGGCUAUGCAAAACAAGACUUGCCUCAAAUGCAGAGGGGUGAUGGCUCUCAUGGUUGCUACGUGGGAUGGCAUGAGAUAUGGCAAUCAUGAUAGCAAUGUAGGGGCAGUAGGACGAGCGGCUUUGGGAUGGCAUUGCCGUGAAGCUCGGUCCAAUGCUCGUCUUUGUCUCUUUGAGUUUGUAACAAAACAGAUCAAGUAG
RNAcentral lists this ribosomal RNA (672 nucleotides) under Triticum aestivum (bread wheat). Its description in RNAcentral is "partial small subunit ribosomal RNA". Lineage: Eukaryota; Viridiplantae; Streptophyta; Magnoliopsida; Poales; Poaceae. The record is from RNAcentral.